Chelonia mydas (Green sea turtle) is the source of this 1386-nucleotide long non-coding RNA. RefSeq lists it as uncharacterized. Lineage: Eukaryota; Metazoa; Chordata; Testudines; Cheloniidae. The transcript is spliced from 4 exons. The record is from RefSeq and is a predicted model, not a curated record.
GUCCGGAGCCUGGCUCGGAGCUGGAGGCAGGAGGAGAGAGACAAGAGUGAGAUUUCAGCGUCUCCAGGUGCCAGUGACCUUUGCGGAGGUGGCUGUGUAUUUCACCGCAGGGCAGGGGGCUCUGCUGGACCCCACUCAGAGAGCCCUCUGCAGGGACAUCAUGCAGGAGAAUGAUGAGCCUGUGACCUCGCUGGGACUCCGCACUCCCAAACCUGACCUGAUCGCCUGGCUGGAAGCAGGGGAAGAGCCGUGGGUCCCGGAUCUCCAGGCCAAAGCAACAUCCCAAGAGGCACCUGCACAGCAGGUGAUGAGACAAUGAGUGAGAACGAGGAGGGGAAUCCACAGCAGCAAGGUCUUGGGAAAGUGGAACUACAGGAGACAUUUAUGAGAAGGGAAUUUUUCCCAGUGCUUGGAACAGAGAAAGCCUGGAGUAAUCAGCACAGGUCAGUGAGGAAGCUGGGAAACAGCUCUUGGAAGAAAGUGGAUAAAUCCAUUGAAUGUGGAAGAGAAGGCAAUGGUCCCCAGGAAACCACAGCCUAGCAGACAAAUCACAAAGAAAAGAAACCCUAUAAAUGCUUAGGCUGUGGGAAAAGCUUCAGUCAGCAGUCUGGCUUUAUAAAGCAUGGGAGAAUCCAUACAGGAGAGAGACCUUAUGAAUGCGUAAAUUGUAGGAAAACUUUCAGUCAGCACUCAGGCCUUAUUUGCCAUAGGAGAAUCCACACAGGAGAGAGACUAUAUAAGUACUUUUAUUGUGGGAAAAGUUUCAGUGCACCAUCAGCCCUUAUUGUACACCAAAGAAUCCACACAGGAGAGCUACCCUAUAAAUGCCCUGAGUGUGGGAAAAGCUUCAGUCAGCACUCAGGCCUUAUUUGAUGCAGGAGAAUCCACGUGGGAGAGAGACCCUAUAAAUGCUUGGAUGAAAGGAAAAGCUUCAGCCCAGCUCAUAACUUCAUAAACAUCUGAGAAUCCUCACCAGACAGAAUCUAUGAAUGCUCUGACUUUGGAAAAAGUUUCAUUUGAAGAUCAAACCUUGCUUCACAUCAGACAGUCCACAUAAGAGAGAACCCAUAAAUGCUUGGAUUGUGGGAAAAGCUUCAAUAAAUGCAGGAAAAGAUUCAGUCCGAGUUCACACAUUAUUCCCUGUCAGGUAAUUCAGAGAAGAAGGAGCUUGAAUGUGGGGGAAGCUUCACUUGGUGUUCACACGGCAUCAAGCAUCAGCAGGUCCAUAAAGCGAAGAGCCUCUCAGAUGUCCUUAGCAUGGAAAACGAUUCAUUUGUUCUCUCAGUGCCCUGACUAGGGCUGGCCAUAGUAAAAACUCCAUUAAUUCCCACUAAUUCCCACACACAGCAGUGGCAUUUUGUUCCCAAGUAUCCAGUUGCCCAUGUC